This 468-nucleotide ribosomal RNA is filed under the name uncultured bacterium. RNAcentral's name for it is "partial 16S ribosomal RNA". It matches the Rfam family "Bacterial small subunit ribosomal RNA", at positions 28 to 507 of the family's 1533-position model. The record is from RNAcentral.
GACGAACGCUGGCGGCGUGCUUAACACAUGCAAGUCGAACGGAAAGGCCCUGCUUUUGUGGGGUGCUCGAGUGGCGAACGGGUGAGUAACACGUGAGUAACCUGCCCUUGACUUUGGGAUAAGUUCAGGAAACUGGGGUUAAUAUCGGAUAGGAGCUCCCGCUGCAUGGUGGGGGGUGGAUAGUUUCGGCGGUUGGGGAUGGAUUCGCGGCUGAUCGGCUUGUUGGUGGGGUAGUGGCAUACCAAGUCUUUGACGGGUAGCCGGCCUGGGAGGGUGACCGGGCACAUUGUGACUGAGAGACGGCCCAGACUCCAACGGGAGGCAACAGUGGGGAGUAUUACACAGUGAGCGGAAGCCUGUGGCGACAACGCCGCGUGCGGGAAGACGGCCUUCGGGUUGUAAACCGCUUUCGCCUGUGACGAAGCGGGAGUGACGGUAAUGAGUAAAGAAGCACCGGCUAACUACGUG